AAUCAACGCUGGCGGCGUGCCUAACACAUGCAAGUCGAACGCGAAAGCCCCGCAAGGGGCAAGUAGAGUGGCAAACGGGUGAGUAACACGUGGGUGACCUGCCUUAGAGUGGGGGAUAACGUCCCGAAAGGGACGCUAAUACCGCAUAACAUCCUGCCUUUGAAGAGGUGGAGAUCAAAGCCGGGGACCGCAAGGCCUGGCGCUCAAAGAGGGGCCCGCGCCUGAUUAGCUAGUUGGUGAGGAAUGGCUCACCAAGGCAACGAUCAGUAUCCGGCCUGAGAGGGCGGACGGACACACUGGGACUGAGACACGGCCCAGACUCCCACGGGAGGCAGCAGUGGGGAAUUGUUCGCAAUGGGCGCAAGCCUGACGACGCAACGCCGCGUGGAGGAUGAAGACC
This 400-nucleotide ribosomal RNA is filed under the name uncultured bacterium. Its description in RNAcentral is "bacterial SSU rRNA". It matches the Rfam family "Bacterial small subunit ribosomal RNA", at positions 29 to 416 of the family's 1533-position model. The record is from RNAcentral.